UAACCUUAACUCUCUCAGAGGCAGGCUUCUGGGGGAACACAGGUGGAGCCUUCCCACUAAUUAGCUUAUCAAGCCCAGUAAAAAGUGGCGACAACAUUGCUGUUAUUUAGGGAACUCAUCAGCCUAGCUGUAGUUUAGCAGUUAAGAGUUUUUACAGCUUAAUUUCAAUAAGGGAUUUAAUUCUUUUCUUUGUUGGAAACUUCCUACAGGAUGGCUCAGAAGAGAAGCUGGGGGCUGAGGCUACCUGCCAAAAAAGAAUAUCCAACGUAACAUAGUGCUGUACAAUGGAGUUUACCCUGCAAGCUUCAAACUCUUCACUGUUCUUCCUAUCUCAGAGGAACCCUGUGAAGACAGGAGUAGGGAGAAGCUCGGCUUUUCAAGUUGGUGGUCUCCCUGAAAAGGAAAAGUCUGAAUUUUUGACAUUUCACAUAUUCUACCCACUCUGAGCCUUUGGUCACAUCCUAACUAACCUUUGUUCUGCAGAAAGGGAUAGAAUGAUACCCAUUUAAAAAAUGAAAAGAUUGAAAAGGUCGUACCAGCAGCACUCCACUGGAGUGUCUCAUGAGAGGCAUCAUGCAUUGCAAUGUGAUACUGUCCUGCACUCAUGCUGCAAAGCUUGUGACAGGAAAUAUAAAAUAAUGCCAAAUGAAAAUAUCCUUGUGACUACCGUGGCCUAGACUUAUAACAGAGGACAUAAAAGAAAGCUCAUUAGGAACCUCUCAAGCCAUACACAACAAUGAAACAAGAAAGAGAAUCAGGGAGUGUAUUUAACAGGAACUUCUCUCCCUUAGCAAGUAAAAGUGUGGUGGUGAAGUUGUGAGGUUUGAGAUCCUUUGAUUUGCUACUGAAAUUCUUGGCUGGCCUUAAUCUUUUUACAGGUCACUAAUAAUGUUGUUGGCUUUCUCUGCAAAUGUUGCAGACUUCAAAGCAAAUUUCUGAGGUAUGUCUUACUGUGAAACAGGAAACUGCUUGGAAAAUGUCACAAGAUGAGAAAUUGGGAAUUUAUUAGAUUGUGUCGCCACUGCCCCUGCUGGGUAAAAAAGUCAAAUGUGCUUGGAUAGAGGAUUAUAUAAUGUCUCUGUCUAAUGAGCACAGCAUUCAGUGGAUAAAAGCCACCAUACCGUACGCUAUUACAAUGAAAAGAGAUUCUCCUUUAGCUCAAGCGGCAGAGACUUGCGCUUCAGGAGUCAAAGGUCCUGAUUUCAAUCUGCGUAAAUGACAGUUAAAUCCAUGGAGUCAAGGCUACCGAUCACAAAGUUUUGUGUGUGUGGCCAGUUCAUUACGUUAAUAUAAAUUAGUUUAUCUGUAGUACUGAGGGUUCUCAACUUUUGCUCAUACCAGAAUUCUACACAUAACUACUUAUGCUCCCAAAUUCUUUGCCUUCGUUGCCGUUCAAAGGCAGUGCCAGGUUUUACGGUGUUUUAAACAAGCUGCUGCAGGUAUUGACUUAGUAGAAUAGGAACUGCUUUUCGUGCAUGAGUAGAACAUGACCGAAAAAUAAUCUCCUUAAGACAAUUACUAUAAAGAGAAAAUGGGAGCAAAUUUGUCAUCUUGUCUCCUGCAGGCAACUGUUGGAAACCCGCUUAGAAUCACUACCUGGCCCAAAACACUAAAUGUGACCCUCUGCACCUUAAUCUGAUUUUUGUUACUGCCAUGAUACUGGGACAAAAGGGGCACUGUUGGGUAUUGCACAUGUUUAAAUGAUACAUUAAGUUAGAUGCCAUUAGAAAUGAUGCAAGUGCAGUUUUGUACUGAAUUGCCACUUUCUGUUUAGAUGGAAAAUGCAUUUAUAGCGUCUUGAAUUAAAAAUACUCUUGCUCAGGACUUAAAUGCCUAGCACAUUAAUAAGAAUUUAAUAAAUAAGGUGAUUAUAAUGUAGAAUAAAUAUAUUCUUCUUCAUCAACUAAAGGAUUAGCUUGUUUUCCUGUAAUUUUAACAUGCACAUUGCAUCAUUUACUGUGCAUUAACUGCAUUUCUUAGCCAGAAAAGUUUUUGUGAGGACAUCACUAAAAAGCAGUAAACAGUAAUAAAAAUGGAGAAUUAGCACUCAAACUGUAGUAAAAGCAUCAUUAAAAUGUA
Molecule: long non-coding RNA, 2079 nt
Organism: Mauremys reevesii (Reeves's turtle)
Lineage: Eukaryota; Metazoa; Chordata; Testudines; Geoemydidae
Exons: 3
Source: RefSeq, a predicted model, not a curated record